RNAcentral lists this long non-coding RNA (496 nucleotides) under Homo sapiens (human). RNAcentral describes it as "HSALNT0032622". The record is from RNAcentral. Lineage: Eukaryota; Metazoa; Chordata; Mammalia; Primates; Hominidae.
UGUUGCAACCAGCCUUCUCACUCUGGUUCCAGCCUUCUGCCAUGAGCUGAGGUUUUGGUUUCUGUGAGAAGCUGAGUUGAAGAGUGUGUCUUCAAGACAAGAAGUGGUUUGUCAACUCAAGUCUCUGACAGCUUUGACCUCAGAUUUGCCCCACACUGUGAUUCUUCCAUUUGCCGCUGCAAGAAAUGAGCCAGAACCAAGAGAGAUUAAGAGAUCAGAACAGACGAAUCUACAUGUCUGGUCAGGGUACACUGGACUGCUAUCACUGACAACCUCUCCCCUACCUCCACAAGACAUAGAAAUGACCCUGGAAGCCCCAUAGACGCUGUUGUCACUAGACAUUGGAUGCUGCUGCCACUGUCACUUCUGCCAAAAUGAGUUAUUUCUAGACCUUGCUUCUCCAGUCUAGAGUUAUUAGUGGUCUAGAUCACAUGGCAUGCCCUUAUUGACAAGAAUAUGGAAACUGAGUCACUGGCCUUGCACUUUAGUGAUGGAA